Molecule: long non-coding RNA, 496 nt
Organism: Gigantopelta aegis
Lineage: Eukaryota; Metazoa; Mollusca; Gastropoda; Neomphalida; Peltospiridae
Exons: 3
Source: RefSeq, a predicted model, not a curated record
ACUGUGACGUCGUUGUCUGUUGACGUACACGUCAUUUCGUUACUAUCGAGACGAGAAAAUGAAAGCGAUUGCCAAACUACAUUCUUUUAUUGUGUUGCUCUGUGUACUGUUACCAUACAGUAGUGGUAGGCCUAGGCCUCUUUGCUAUCCAGGCUGUGAUGUCAAUGAACAAGUACUCAAGUGCUCCAGCCUUAAUGUUCAACAUCUGGAAUACCUGAAUCCAUGCAAAGCAGUAAUAAUUGACCUAAGAAACCUCCAGUUAGAGUGUACAUGUGACUUUGUGGAAUUUGCUGAAAGGAUCCGUGGCACCAAGGGAGUUGUACUCUAUCACAAUGUAGACUGCACCUCGGAGAUCAUUGACAUAUGUUGUAAGAUAAACAUAUAUAUAUAUAUACUGUAGAUCCUGAAAUUAAUACGUCCCUAAAUUAAGGCGAGUGAUGAUGGGCAGACUAAAACGUGGCAUGCAAUUAAUCAGAGUGGCCUCCCUUUGAAAUAU